Molecule: small RNA, 64 nt
Filed under: Arabidopsis thaliana (thale cress)
Lineage: Eukaryota; Viridiplantae; Streptophyta; Magnoliopsida; Brassicales; Brassicaceae
Description: ATSL237790
Source: RNAcentral
UAAAGAAAAAAAGAAGAAGAAAAAAACAAAUAUGUAAAAUUAGGGAACAUAUUAGGGUCAUCUG